Long non-coding RNA from Bufo bufo (common toad), 191 nucleotides. RefSeq lists it as uncharacterized. The transcript has 3 exons. NCBI's taxonomy places the organism in Eukaryota, Metazoa, Chordata, Amphibia, Anura, Bufonidae. The record is from RefSeq and is a predicted model, not a curated record.
UUCAGAUUUAUACUUUUUGCCAUUUAUAUAAUUGAAGAAAAUUUUAGGGUUAGUUUUACUCUCUUUGGCAAUGAAUCUCUCUGUCUCUAGUUUGGCUGCUUUUAUUUGUCUUUUACAUAUUAAAUUUUUCCCUUGUAGUUUGUUAAUGUUUCCGCGCUACCCUCCUGUUUUAGCUCCAAAGAAGUACAGGC